Non-coding RNA from Pelobates cultripes (western spadefoot toad), 368 nucleotides. Lineage: Eukaryota; Metazoa; Chordata; Amphibia; Anura; Pelobatidae. The record is from the annotation of a GenBank genome assembly.
UGACUUUACGUCAUGUUAAUAGUAAAAUAAGGUAAUUUUAUUAGAAGACACGGAGGCUCAUAUUAUGCUGGUUCAAAGCCGUGAAAUAACAGAAGAAGUAAAAUGCGGAGAUGGACAAAAAUAGUACUUCCCAAAGAUAGAUUUGCAAGACAAGUCAGCUUUCAGAAGGUCUUCCAGUCGGCAACCCAAGGAGAAAAUUUAAGAUGCCAUGGCAGCUCUCAUGGAGUGUGCUCCAAACACUGAAGUAUCGACAUCAGCAGAUGUCAUGAUCCAUGUCAUGAACUUCCCAACUUCAGAAGUGAUUUAAAUGCAAUCUUAGCCUCCCUAGUGAUGUCAAAAGAAACUCCGUCAGGAGUAUAAGAAUGUGC